GUUUACCGUGAAAAAAUUAGAGUGUUCAAAGCAGGCAGAUUCAAUUUUCUGCCACCGAAUACAUUAGCAUGGGAUAAUGGAAUAGGACCCUGUCCUCCUAUUUUCAGUUGGUUUUGGCAGCGCGAGGACUAGGGUAAUGAUUAAUAGGGAUAGUUGGGGGCAUUAAUAUUUAAUUGUCAGAGGUGAAAUUCUUGGAUUUAUGAAAGAUUAACUUCUGCGAAAGCAUCUGCCAAGGAUGUUUUCAUUAAUCAAGAACGAAAGUUAGGGGAUCGAAGACGAUCAGAUACCGUCGUAGUCUUAACCAUAAACGAUGCCGACCAGCGAUUAGGAGACGUUGAAUACAAAACACCACCAUCGGCGCGGUCGUCCUUGGCGUUCGUGUUCACGCACGGGCGCGAGGGCGGUUUAGCCCGGUGGCACCGGUGAAUGACUCCCUAG
Molecule: ribosomal RNA, 438 nt
Filed under: Acanthamoeba sp.
Lineage: Eukaryota; Discosea; Longamoebia; Acanthamoebidae
Description: SSU rRNA
Rfam family: Eukaryotic small subunit ribosomal RNA (bases 1-384)
Source: RNAcentral